GCCUAGUUAGCUUAGUUGGUAGUGCGUCUGCCUUGUAAGCGCUAGGCCGCGGGUUCGAUUCCCGCCCCGGCC
This 72-nucleotide transfer RNA is filed under the name Diaphorina citri (Asian citrus psyllid). It matches the Rfam family "tRNA". From Rfam's summary of the family: Transfer RNA (tRNA) molecules are approximately 80 nucleotides in length. Their secondary structure includes four short double-helical elements and three loops (D, anti-codon, and T loops). The record is from Rfam by way of RNAcentral. Lineage: Eukaryota; Metazoa; Arthropoda; Insecta; Hemiptera; Psyllidae.